This 22-nucleotide microRNA is filed under the name Ciona intestinalis (vase tunicate). Its description in RNAcentral is "cin-miR-4053-3p". Lineage: Eukaryota; Metazoa; Chordata; Ascidiacea; Phlebobranchia; Cionidae. The record is from miRBase by way of RNAcentral.
UAGUACGUCGUUCUCCGGACGG